RNAcentral lists this ribosomal RNA (460 nucleotides) under uncultured bacterium. RNAcentral describes it as "partial 16S ribosomal RNA". It matches the Rfam family "Bacterial small subunit ribosomal RNA", at positions 338 to 795 of the family's 1533-position model. The record is from RNAcentral.
CCUACGGGCGGCAGCAGUGAGGAAUAUUGGUCAAUGGCCGGAAGGCUGAACCAGCCAUGCCGCGUGAAUGUCAGUGCCCUAUGGGCGUUAAACUUCUUUUGUGCGGGAGCAAUACUGGUCACGUGUGGCCAGACGAGAGUACCGUACGAAUAAGCAUCGCCUAACCACGUGCCAGCAGCCGCGGUACUAUGGGGGAUGCAAGCGUUAUUCGGAUGUAUUGGGUUUAAAGGGUGCGUAGGCUGUGAGGUAAGUCAGCGGUGACAUGCCCCCGCGGACCGGGGUGAAGUGCCAUUGAUACUGCCUUGCUGGAAUGCGGAUGCCGUGGGAGGAAUGUGUGGUGUAGCGGUGAAAUGCAUAGAUAUCACACAGAACACCGAUUGCGAGGGCAUCUCACGAAUCCGCGAUUGACGCUGAUGCACGAAAGCGUGGGUAUCAAACAGGAUUAGAUACCCUAGUAGUC